GGACGGGACCGCACAAGCGGUGGAUGAUGUGGAUUAAUUCGAUGCAACGCGAAGAACCUUUACCUACCCUUGACAUGUCCGGAACUUGCCAGAGAUGGCUUGGUGCCCGAAAGGGAAUCGGAACACAGGUGCUGCAUGGCUGUCGUCAGCUCGUGUCGUGAGAUGUUGGGUUAAGUCCCGCAACGAGCGCAACCCUUAUCAUUAGUUGCUACGCAAGGGCACUCUAAUGAGACUGCCGGUGACAAACCGGGGAAGGUGGGGAUGACGUCAAGUCCUCAUGGCCCUUAUGGGUAGGGCUUCACACGUCAUACAAUGGUCGGUACAGAGGGUUGCCAAGCCGCGAGGCGGAGCCAAUCCCACAAAGCCGAUCGUAGUCCGGAUUGUUCUCUGCAACUCGAGAGCAUGAAGUCGGAAUCGCUAGUAAUCGCAGGUCAGCAUACUGCGGUGAAUACGUUCCCGGGUCUU
RNAcentral lists this ribosomal RNA (465 nucleotides) under uncultured Thiobacillus sp. RNAcentral describes it as "bacterial SSU rRNA". It matches the Rfam family "Bacterial small subunit ribosomal RNA", at positions 917 to 1381 of the family's 1533-position model. The record is from RNAcentral. Lineage: Bacteria; Pseudomonadati; Pseudomonadota; Betaproteobacteria; Nitrosomonadales; Thiobacillaceae.